Molecule: ribosomal RNA, 253 nt
Filed under: uncultured bacterium
Lineage: Bacteria
Description: partial 16S ribosomal RNA
Rfam family: Bacterial small subunit ribosomal RNA
Source: RNAcentral
UACGAAGGGGGCUAGCGUUGUUCGGAAUCACUGGGCGUAAAGCGCACGUAGGCGGCUUCUUAAGUCAGGGGUGAAAUCCUGGAGCUCAACUCCAGAACUGCCUUUGAUACUGAGAGGCUCGAGUCCGGAAGAGGUGAGUGGAACUGCGAGUGUAGAGGUGAAAUUCGUAGAUACUCGGAAGAACACCAGUGGCGAAGGCGACUCACUGGACACGUAUUGACGCUGAGGUGCGAAAGCGUGGGGAGCAAACAGG